Molecule: ribosomal RNA, 408 nt
Filed under: uncultured bacterium
Lineage: Bacteria
Description: partial 16S ribosomal RNA
Rfam family: Bacterial small subunit ribosomal RNA
Source: RNAcentral
GACGAACGCUGGCGGCGUGCUUAACACAUGCAAGUCGAACGAAGUGGCGAACGGGUAAGUCAUACGUGUGUACCCUGCCCUCCUUUUUGGGGUAAGCCUUGGACACGGGGUCUAAUACCGAAUAAAGGGGGUUGGGCUCGCUGCCUAUCAGCUUGUUGGUGGGGUGAUGGCGUACCAAGGCGGUGACGGGUAGCCGGCCUGAGAGGGUGACCGUGAAAAUGGGGACUGGGAUACGGGCCAGACGCCUACGGGAGGAAGCAGUGUGGGAUAAUGCGCGAUGGGCGAAAACCUGAAGCAGCGGGGCGGCGUGGGGGAUGAAGGAUUUCGGGUUGGAAACCUCUUGCGCUAUCGAACGGGUAGGUAGAGAAGAAGCGCCGGCUAACUACGUGCCAGCAGCCGCGGUAAUUC